This 441-nucleotide ribosomal RNA is filed under the name uncultured Novosphingobium sp. Its description in RNAcentral is "bacterial SSU rRNA". It matches the Rfam family "Bacterial small subunit ribosomal RNA", at positions 37 to 524 of the family's 1533-position model. Lineage: Bacteria; Pseudomonadati; Pseudomonadota; Alphaproteobacteria; Sphingomonadales; Sphingomonadaceae. The record is from RNAcentral.
UGGCGGCAUGCCUAACACAUGCAAGUCGAACGAACCCUUCGGGGUUAGUGGCGCACAGGUGCGUAACGCGUGGGAAUCUGCCCUUGGGUUCGGAAUAACAGUUAGAAAUGACUGCUAAUACCGGAUGAAGUCUUCGGACCAAAGAUUUAUCGCCCAGGGAUGAGCCCGCGUAGGAUUAGGUAGUUGGUGGGGUAAAGGCCUACCAAGCCGACGAUCCUUAGCUGGUCUGAGAGGAUGAUCAGCCACACUGGGACUGAGACACGGCCCAGACUCCUACGGGAGGCAGCAGUGGGGAAUAUUGGACAAUGGGGGAAACCCUGAUCCAGCAAUGCCGCGUGAGUGAUGAAGGCCUUCGGGUCGUAAAGCUCUUUUACCAGGGAUGAUAAUGACAGUACCUGGAGAAUAAGCUCCGGCUAACUCCGUGCCAGCAGCCGCGGUAAU